This 827-nucleotide ribosomal RNA is filed under the name Placopsis aff. gelida Dillman 2014164. RNAcentral's name for it is "SSU rRNA". It matches the Rfam family "Bacterial small subunit ribosomal RNA", at positions 1 to 1214 of the family's 1533-position model. The record is from RNAcentral. Lineage: Eukaryota; Fungi; Ascomycota; Lecanoromycetes; Trapeliales; Trapeliaceae.
GCUAGUUGCACAGUCUUUUUUUAGGACAAGAUUAAGUUUAUAURUCUMAUAUGUAUAUUARGUUUAUAUGUCUGACAUGUAGAUCAAACMUAUAUAUUGGAUAUAGACUUAGUUGUGCWAAAUCGGCUCUGUCGAAUAAAGUUCGAGAUAGGGUUAUGAUAAUGACAUUUUCUAUCUUUGUGUCUUGACCAAAUCACGUGCCAGCAGUCGCGGUAAGACGUGGGAGACUAGUGUUGUUCAUCUUUAUUGGGUUUAAAGGGUACCUAGACGGCCAAUCAAGCCCCCCCAAAGGGUACUAAUAGGCUAGAGUUUGAUGUGAAAAGGGGAGUAUUAAAGAGUGGAGAGAUGGAAUUCUGUGAUACCUUUUGGAACAGCCAAAGGCGAAGGCGACCUUUUAUGUAAAAACUGACGUUGAAGGACGAAGGCUUAGGUCACAAUUAGGAUUAGAUACCCUAGUAGUCUAAGCAGAAAAUGAUGAAUGUCAUAGAUGAGAUAUUUAUUUUUGUCUAUAAAUGAAAGUGUAAGCAUUCCACCUCAAGAGUAACGCGGCAACGCAGGAACUGAAAUCAUUAGACCGUUUCUGAAACCAGUAGUGGAGUAUGUUGUUUAAUUUGAUUGUACGCAAAAAACCUUACCACAGUCUGAAUAGAUAUCUAGAUAUCAUACAAGCGUUGCACGGCUGUCUUCAGUUAAUGUCGUGAGAUCUUGGUUAGCUCCAUUAAAUUAACGUAAACCCUUACUUUAUUUUUUAUUAUGAAGUAGUUCGCCAACACAAUAGUUAUGAUAACAGGGAUUAAGACAAGUCAAUAUGGCCUUAGUAUGUGGCU